AGUUGGUGAACAAUCCACAUAGUUGUUUUUGAUGAAAACAAUCCAUAUAAUUGUUAGGCUUGACAUUGCUUUUAAUUCUAACUUGACAUCUUUGUUUAGUGAUGCAGCAGCGAGUGCAUAUGCUCUCCUCGCUUUACAUGAUCUUGUCGUUGAUUAGUCUCACAUCCAACAGUUCAUUGAUUCACUUUGCUUAUGUUUUGUCGCAUUAUGCACAUCCAUCAUUUUUUUCCUCUCAGACAACUUGUUUUUAUGUGAAUCACAAUGAUCCAUAUUUUGGGUGUAGAUGCUAGUAUUCUGUACAUUCGAUAAUUCACAUAUUUGAUAUAAGAGC
RNAcentral lists this long non-coding RNA (331 nucleotides) under Elaeis guineensis (African oil palm). Its description in RNAcentral is "long non-coding RNA (EGUI_LNC013897)". Lineage: Eukaryota; Viridiplantae; Streptophyta; Magnoliopsida; Arecales; Arecaceae. The record is from RNAcentral.